This 1369-nucleotide ribosomal RNA is filed under the name uncultured bacterium. RNAcentral describes it as "bacterial SSU rRNA". It matches the Rfam family "Bacterial small subunit ribosomal RNA", at positions 28 to 1381 of the family's 1533-position model. The record is from RNAcentral.
GAUGAACGCUGGCGGCGUGCCUAAUACAUGCAAGUCGAGCGAACGGACGAGAAGCUUGCUUCUCUGAUGUUAGCGGCGGACGGGUGAGUAACACGUGGAUAACCUACCUAUAAGACUGGGAUAACUUCGGGAAACCGGAGCUAAUACCGGAUAAUAUUUUGAACCGCAUGGUUCAAAAGUGAAAGACGGUCUUGCUGUCACUUAUAGAUGGAUCCGCGCUGCAUUAGCUAGUUGGUAAGGUAACGGCUUACCAAGGCAACGAUGCAUAGCCGACCUGAGAGGGUGAUCGGCCACACUGGAACUGAGACACGGUCCAGACUCCUACGGGAGGCAGCAGUAGGGAAUCUUCCGCAAUGGGCGAAAGCCUGACGGAGCAACGCCGCGUGAGUGAUGAAGGUCUUCGGAUCGUAAAACUCUGUUAUUAGAGAAGAACAUAUGUGUAAGUAACUGUGCACAUCUUGACGGUACCUAAUCAGAAAGCCACGGCUAACUACGUGCCAGCAGCCGCGGUAAUACGUAGGUGGGCAGCGUUAUCCGGAAUUAUUGGGCGUAAAGCGCGCGUAGCGGUUUUUUAGUCUGAUGUGAAAGCCCACGGCUCACCGUGGAGGGUCAUUGGAAACUGGAAAACUUGAGUGCAGAAGAGGAAAGUGGAAUUCCAUGUGUAGCGGUGAAAUGCGCAGAGAUAUGGAGGAACACCAGUGGCGAAGGCGACUUUCUGGUCUGUAACUGACGCUGAUGUGCGAAAGCGUGGGGAUCAAACAGGAUUAGAUACCCUGGUAGUCCACGCCGUAAACGAUGAGUGCUAAGUGUUAGGGGGUUUCCGCCCCUUAGUGCUGCAGCUAACGCAUUAAGCACUCCGCCUGGGGAGUACGACCGCAAGGUUGAAACUCAAAGGAAUUGACGGGGACCCGCACAAGCGGUGGAGCAUGUGGUUUAAUUCGAAGCAACGCGAAGAACCUUACCAAAUCUUGACAUCCUUUGACAACUCUAGAGAUAGAGCCUUCCCCUUCGGGGGACAAAGUGACAGGUGGUGCAUGGUUGUCGUCAGCUCGUGUCGUGAGAUGUUGGGUUAAGUCCCGCAACGAGCGCAACCCUUAAGCUUAGUUGCCAUCAUUAAGUUGGGCACUCUAAGUUGACUGCCGGUGACAAACCGGAGGAAGGUGGGGAUGACGUCAAAUCAUCAUGCCCCUUAUGAUUUGGGCUACACACGUGCUACAAUGGACAAUACAAAGGGCAGCGAAACCGCGAGGUCAAGCAAAUCCCAUAAAGUUGUUCUCAGUUCGGAUUGUAGUCUGCAACUCGACUACAUGAAGCUGGAAUCGCUAGUAAUCGUAGAUCAGCAUGCUACGGUGAAUACGUUCCCGGGUCU